This 279-nucleotide ribosomal RNA is filed under the name uncultured bacterium. Its description in RNAcentral is "partial 16S ribosomal RNA". It matches the Rfam family "Bacterial small subunit ribosomal RNA", at positions 506 to 784 of the family's 1533-position model. The record is from RNAcentral.
UGCCAGCAGCCGCGGUAAUACGGAGGGGGUUAGCGUUGUUCGGAAUUACUGGGCGUAAAGCGCACGUAGGCGGAUUAGUAAGUUAGGGGUGAAAUCCCGGGGCUCAACUCCGGAACUGCGCCUGAAACUACCUGACUUGAGUAUAGGAGGGGAUAGCAGAAUUUCUGGUGUAGCGGUGAAAUGCGUAGAUAUCAGAAGGAAUACCAAUGGCGAAGGCAGCUAUCUGGACUAAUACUGACACUGAGGCACGAAAGCGUGGGGAGCGAAAGGGAUUAGAUA